This 319-nucleotide RNase P RNA is filed under the name unidentified eubacterium clone LGB#41. RNAcentral describes it as "partial ribonuclease P RNA". It matches the Rfam family "Bacterial RNase P class A", at positions 43 to 351 of the family's 367-position model. From Rfam's summary of the family: Ribonuclease P (RNase P) is a ubiquitous endoribonuclease, found in archaea, bacteria and eukarya as well as chloroplasts and mitochondria. Its best characterised activity is the generation of mature 5'-ends of tRNAs by cleaving the 5'-leader elements of precursor-tRNAs. Lineage: Bacteria; Pseudomonadati; Pseudomonadota; Alphaproteobacteria. The record is from RNAcentral.
GAGGAAAGUCCGGGCUCCACGGAACAACGGUGCCGGGUAACGCCCGGCGGCUCCUGCCUCGGCCGGAGUUAGGGAAAGUGCCACAGAAGCAUACCGCCUGCCUUUGGGCGGGUAAGGGCGAAAGGGUGCGGCAAGAGCGCACCGCGCGGCCGGUAACGGUCGCGGCACGGUAAACCCCACCGGGUGCAAGACCGAAUAGGGGCGGCAUAUGGGCCUGUUCCGGCUCGUCGCCCGGGUUGGUCGCUUGAGGCGAAGGGCAACCUUCGUCCUAGAGGAAUGGUCGCCGAUCCCCUUUAAGGGGUGAACAGAACCCGGCUUA